This 1382-nucleotide ribosomal RNA is filed under the name uncultured bacterium. RNAcentral describes it as "16S ribosomal RNA". It matches the Rfam family "Bacterial small subunit ribosomal RNA". The record is from RNAcentral.
UUCGCCCUUAGAGUUUGAUCCUGGCUCAGGACGAACGCUGGCGGCGUGCCUAACACAUGCAAGUCGAGCGGAGACAGUGAGUAGCUUGCUAUGAGCUGUUUUAGCGGCGGACGGGUGAGUAACGCGUGAGCAACCUUUCCCAGACAGGGGAAUAACACACCGAAAGGUGUACUAAUACCGCAUAAGACCACGGGAUCACAUGGUUCUGAGGUAAAAGAUUUAUCGGUUUGGGGUGGGCUCGCGUCCGAUUAGGUAGUUGGUGAGGUAACGGCCCACCAAGCCGACGAUCGGUAGCCGACCUGAGAGGGUGAUCGGCCACAUUGGGACUGAGACACGGCCCAAACUCCUACGGGAGGCAGCAGUGGGGAAUAUUGGGCAAUGGAGGAAACUCUGACCCAGCAACGCCGCGUGGAGGAAGAAGGUUUUCGGAUCGUAAACUCCUGUCGUUAGGGACGAUAAUGACGGUACCUAACAAGAAAGCACCGGCUAACUACGUGCCAGCAGCCGCGGUAAAACGUAGGGUGCAAGCGUUGUCCGGAAUUACUGGGUGUAAAGGGAGCGCAGGCGGGAAGACAAGUUGGAAGUGAAAACCAUGGGCUCAACCCAUGAAUUGCUUUCAAAACUGUUUUUCUUGAGUAGUGCAGAGGUAGAUGGAAUUCCCGGUGUAGCGGUGGAAUGCGUAGAUAUCGGGAGGAACACCAGUGGCGAAGGCGGUCUACUGGGCACCAACUGACGCUGAGGCUCGAAAGCAUGGGUAGCAAACAGGAUUAGAUACCCUGGUAGUCCAUGCCGUAAACGAUGAUUACUAGGUGUUGGGGGAUUGACCCCCUCAGUGCCGCAGUUAACACAAUAAGUAAUCCACCUGGGGAGUACGACCGCAAGGUUGAAACUCAAAGGAAUUGACGGGGGCCCGCACAAGCAGUGGAGUAUGUGGUUUAAUUCGAAGCAACGCGAAGAACCUUACCAGGUCUUGACAUCCGAUGCAUAGCACAGAGAUGUGUGAAAUCCUUCGGGACAUCGAGACAGGUGGUGCAUGGUUGUCGUCAGCUCGUGUCGUGAGAUGUUGGGUUAAGUCCCGCAACGAGCGCAACCCUUAUUGCCAGUUACUACGUUAAGAGGACUCUGGCGAGACUGCCGUUGACAAAACGGAGGAAGGUGGGGACGACGUCAAAUCAUCAUGCCCCUUAUGACCUGGGCUACACACGUGCUACAAUGGCCACGACAGAGAGAAGCGAAAUCGUAAGGUAGAGCGGAACUCAAAAAAGUGGUCCCAGUUCGGAUUGUGGGCUGCAACCCGCCCACAUGAAGUCGGAGUUGCUAGUAAUCGCGGAUCAGCAUGCCGCGGUGAAUACGUUCCCGGGCCUUGCACACACCGCCCGUCA